RNAcentral lists this ribosomal RNA (1015 nucleotides) under Escherichia coli. RNAcentral's name for it is "partial 23S ribosomal RNA". It matches the Rfam family "Bacterial large subunit ribosomal RNA", at positions 215 to 1268 of the family's 2925-position model. Lineage: Bacteria; Pseudomonadati; Pseudomonadota; Gammaproteobacteria; Enterobacterales; Enterobacteriaceae. The record is from RNAcentral.
GGAAAAGAAAUCAACCGAGAUUCCCCCAGUAGCGGCGAGCGAACGGGGAGCAGCCCAGAGCCUGAAUCAGUGUGUGUGUUAGUGGAAGCGUCUGGAAAGGCGCGCGAUACAGGGUGACAGCCCCGUACACAAAAAUGCACAUGCUGUGAGCUCGAUGAGUAGGGCGGGACACGUGGUAUCCUGUCUGAAUAUGGGGGGACCAUCCUCCAAGGCUAAAUACUCCUGACUGACCGAUAGUGAACCAGUACCGUGAGGGAAAGGCGAAAAGAACCCCGGCGAGGGGAGUGAAAAAGAACCUGAAACCGUGUACGUACAAGCAGUGGGAGCACGCUUAGGCGUGUGACUGCGUACCUUUUGUAUAAUGGGUCAGCGACUUAUAUUCUGUAGCAAGGUUAACCGAAUAGGGGAGCCGAAGGGAAACCGAGUCUUAACUGGGCGUUAAGUUGCAGGGUAUAGACCCGAAACCCGGUGAUCUAGCCAUGGGCAGGUUGAAGGUUGGGUAACACUAACUGGAGGACCGAACCGACUAAUGUUGAAAAAUUAGCGGAUGACUUGUGGCUGGGGGUGAAAGGCCAAUCAAACCGGGAGAUAGCUGGUUCUCCCCGAAAGCUAUUUAGGUAGCGCCUCGUGAAUUCAUCUCCGGGGGUAGAGCACUGUUUCGGCAAGGGGGUCAUCCCGACUUACCAACCCGAUGCAAACUGCGAAUACCGGAGAAUGUUAUCACGGGAGACACACGGCGGGUGCUAACGUCCGUCGUGAAGAGGGAAACAACCCAGACCGCCAGCUAAGGUCCCAAAGUCAUGGUUAAGUGGGAAACGAUGUGGGAAGGCCCAGACAGCCAGGAUGUUGGCUUAGAAGCAGCCAUCAUUUAAAGAAAGCGUAAUAGCUCACUGGUCGAGUCGGCCUGCGCGGAAGAUGUAACGGGGCUAAACCAUGCACCGAAGCUGCGGCAGCGACGCUGAUGCGUUGUUGGGUAGGGGAGCGUUCUGUAAGCCUGCGAAGGUGUGCUGUGAGG